CUUUAUUAAGGCAACGGGGGACAAAUCGUAGCGCUCAGGUUUUACAAAAGCGAAAACAAACAGAGCUCGCACACAUCCGCGGAGAGGGGGCAGGGAGGCGGCAAAGUUUCUAGAGCUCCAGGAACUGGAGUGCCAAUGAGAAAUGCAGUGUGCUUCAAAGCUGCACGCUCAGUGUCACUUCGGAUACGGAUAAAGUGAAACAGGUACUUGCAAAAAGGACCAUAGUCAAUAAAUAUAUCGGCUGAAUGAAGGCAAAAAAAAAAAGAAAAACAAAACCAAAACGCAACCCCCUCCCCCCCCCCCAAAAAAACAACUCACCAGCUGCCUUCCUGGGAUGUCCCUUCCUUGAAUGCCCCAGUCCUUGAUUUCCCUUUAAGAACCUCAGACAGGAAAAUGUUGAUCUGUGCCAAUGGUUCCCCUUCUUCGAUGGAGUUUGAAGGGUGGCAGGAGCCUAAGGUAGGGUCCCAGAUACUUGUCAAUGGGAAAUGGGCAAAGCCAAAGCAGUUUUAUAUUUUGAUUAAAAAACGUGCAUCUGGACAGCUAAAUUACCAGUUUUGAUCUAAUGCAAGUGUAAUAGGAACACCAGCUGUCCCUUAAUUGGAGCCCCACAAUAAUAAACGCGUGCUUUUAUUUAAUUUUAUGAGGACAAUUGUAGUUGAUAACACACGCAUAUGCGAGAUCCUCAGUGACAAGCUCAUAGCAAUUCAUGGGCUGCUCUCCUGCCAUGAACUGCUUCACCCCAGUACCGAGUUCUACAUGCUCUCCACAAAGGGUAAAAACAUCGCAGGAGACAUUUAAGUAACAGGUUGAGGAGCCUAGUGAAAUCUCAGGCUAAUUCUCCUUUUUAAUUCUGUGGGACUGAUCCAAGUAGAAUUCUCCAGCUGAUUUUAGGCAAGAAAUCAAUGUCUGUUUGUUAAAUGCCAGAUAAUAGUGGCAGGAUCAUAAUGGUUGGAAGGAGAACACUGGCACAAAACUACCCUUUAAAUAAUUGAGAUACCCCCUCCCCCCACCAAGGCAAUUGGCAAGCAUUGUGAAAGUUAUCAGGACAAUGUGCAGGGACAGCAUCUGAUACUUUUGCAGUAAUGGGUAGAAUCCUAGCAUAAGUCAAACAGAAGGCAGGAGUUGCUAGUUUUUUGAAAAAAAGGGAAACAAGAAAAAAAUGAAUUCCUAACCGCCUCUCUUCACCUCCUUUUGAGCUUGCCAAAUUACCUGCACUGCUCUGAAAAUCAAACUUGGCUGACAUAUAGGAAGUGGCUUUGGCAGUCCAGGAACUACCACAACUAAAAUUAAGAGGUGUUGGCUACCACAGAAGUCUGGAAAGAAGGGCAAGGCUGAAUUAUAUAACUUUAUACCCAAUGAUCUAACAAAUGAGGAACUUUUAUCACGGCAUGAUUGGGGGCACGACCGAGGAAAAAUGGAGUUGCACACUGACUGACCCACAAGAUGACUUCUUAAUGUAUAUACAUUAUUGUCUCUGACUUCUUACACUUGUUCCCCCUCGCAUUGUGGGCGAGUCUCAGAACCACUACUCCUGAGGGAUCUUCAAAGUGUCAGUUUUAUCUUCUGGUUUUCCAUGAUGCCUUCGAGCAGGGUCAGAUGGUUCCCUACUGGCUAUAAACGGCUAUAGCAGCCCCAAGCCUCACAUCUUCAUACUCACGGAAGAGCAAACGUCCUGAGGUUUACCAGAAUUGGAUGAGCUGAAGCCGGGGUUAUAUUCCCAUUUCUGAAACAAUCAGAAGAACUUCAAGAGGGGGAGCAAAUUAAUGCGGCUGGGCCUGGAGUAGGUAAUGACUUCAACGCAUUCAGUCCAAGCGUGUGGCUGAAAAUCAUAUUUGCACUGCUCCCCGAAUCGUGAAUCAGAAGCUGUUGCCAGCAGAAUGGAAGUUAGAAAAGCAACUAAAAUCGUUCUCUGUGGUCCCUGGACCAUGGAGCACACAUUCUUGGGACGGUGGGGGAAUCGGAGAAGAAAUAAGUCAACAAAUAAGCAAGAUAGACGUGGUGAUAAAUGCUUUGAUGGUCCCAGAAUAGGAUGUGGUCUCCAAGAAAACAGAGAUUUAUAUUUGUUUUGCUCUUUGCAAUAUCCCACCUGCCUAAGCCAGUGCCUAGCACACAUCGGCCCAAAGUAAAUGUUUGUUGAGUUGAAUUGCAUGAAAUAAUAAGGAGGGUAAAAUGAUAAUCGUUGCUCUCUAUCAUGCCUCUCUGCUCCCAACCAACCGCUUUCCUUGGGUCUCCCUUGUCAGCGACAUGCCUUGGCUUCUGCUCUCCUUCCCACCUGGGACCUACUCCUUUCCCCCCUGUGUGUCCAGGUCCUACACAUCGUUCCCAACUUUGUCAAAAUUCCAUCUUCUUCAGGUGCCUUCCAUGACAUACCUGCUGCUCUUUAACUUCCUCCUGACCAUCCUCUGCUCCACCAUGGCAUUUAUCAGCAAUGUGCCUUUUAGCCCUAGGUUUUAUUAGACUUGGUAAUUUGCCAAAUGUUCUUUUAUAACAUUAACUAACACAAUUUUAUCUUUACAUGCCUUAAAAUCCAGAACAGAGCAUGAUCUAUCUGUAGAUAGGCAUUGGUUGUUUUUUUCCCCAGCUUAGCCAUUUACUAGGUAUAUAUGAACCUGGGUAAAUGAUUCGCUGCUCUGAGAGUCAAUUUCCUGAUCUGUAACAUGGGGGUUGUACCUCCCUCGUGAGGCUGCUCUGAGUACUGAGGUUAUUCAUGCCACCCCCACAUGGUAGGUACUUGAUAAACAGGGGUGAUGAUGAAGAAGAAGGAGGACGGAGGGGAGGAGGAGGGAGAGGAGGAGGCAGGGGAGGAGGAGGAGAAGGAGAAGGAGAAAGCAGCUUUGAUUUCACCAUCAGCAGGAAGGCACUCGCUGAAGCAUGGCAAGCUAAGUGACCACACCGCUGAACUGAAGGAACGGAGAGGAAGGGAGAGGCAGGAGCCUAGCAGCCAGCGCCCGACACAGCCAUCCCUUACAGCCCUGGCGCUCACGCUGAACUAACAAGCACCUAAUUGACUCAAAUGAUGGUACGUGUGAGCCUCGGCGGGUGCUGGAUGAGCUGCCGCCGGGGGCGGAGGCGCUGCUAUUAUGCUAAUUCUUGUGCAUCCCACGGGUCAGAAAAGAACAGAUACUUCAUCCGCCACGGGAGGAAUGGCAGCAAUUAAGGCAGUCACGAUGCCAUGAAGUGGUAUUAACGAAACAAAUGAGGACUCUGUCUCUGGGUAAAAUCACUCCGGUCUUUUGGGGGGAAAAAUCCCUGCCUAAAUAAAUUGUUUACUUUUUCGCGGCCAUGACUGCUCAAUUAGAUCAUUCAUGAGCAUGGUGUCCCCAAAUGUAAAGAGUGAAAUGGACAGGCUUUCCUCUAAUCCCCGCUUCUCUACCAGCUGGCUCGUUGGGCUUAGAGUACACCUGCUGCCUUCUCAGCUACAAACUUUCCAACCCCUCAGCCAAGUCCACCCCAUCCAGCUCUGCUUUCCACCACAGAUGAGAUUUGGGGCUAGGGAAGGUCACUACUGAGCAAUCAGGUCAAGUGAGUUAGUGCCUGAGGUCCUGACCUGCACGUACGGCUGGCUGCAAAAACUUUCUCGAACGUGUUCCAGGUGUGUUCAUUCUAGUGGUUGAAAUGAGAUUGACCUGAUUUAAAAUUUCCCCGUUUGUGAGUUUUGUGACUUUCAGCAAACACUUAACUUCUUUAGUGGAAAAAAAUAAGAUCUGCCUUAUAAAGUAGUUAUGAGAAUCAAAUAUGAUGAAGCAUGCCUGGUGUUCGGCAUGGUGCUUGGCACAAAUUAAGCAUCAAUGAACGUUAGCUUUUAUUAUAAUUAUUGGCAGGGGCAGUGGUGAUAUCGAAAGCAAUGGCUUUGACCAAAGAGCUGGAGGGACUGAUUUGCUCGUCUGGGUAGGUCUGUAGCUGCUCAAUCAGGCUGGCCUUUGAGGAGAAUCGGCUAGCUUCAGAGACCACAAGGGAGCCGGUACACCUGCAAUUUAAAAGAGAAAGCAUUUUCUGUAAAGUCUUAGUUGUCAGUAUCUGAGAGGUAGAUUUAGUUCCUGGCAGCCCCAGGAGCUUAGCUGGACCGAUAGUUGUGACCAGGUACAGGUGGAUCAGCACCCAGAGUAUUUCAGGAUCGGCACGGGUCAGUAUCCUGGUCCUAUGGCUCAGUGGUAACUUGCAGGAAGAUUACUCACACGUACAGUAAGCCUCUGACCCCAGGCCUCAUCUGCUCCCCUGUUAAUCAGUCUGUCAGUCAGGUCCUGCAAGAAACAGAUACUGAGACGGGAAAUCCAAUGUGCAAAGAUUUCAUUAGAGGAAACACCUGUGAGAGAAAAUGGGGGUGCAGAGCCGGAGAGGCUGGGAACAGCCUUGGAUCACGAUGUAAGUCUGACCCUGUGAAGCGAAGGAGAGAGGUCAGACCGGACAAAGGAUCUCAGAGCACCGUAGCCGGGGCCCUGGGCCGAUUAUGUUCUCUGUGGUUGGAAGUCUGCAAUGCAUAUUAUCACGGCUGCCACAAUCGAUGACAGGAAAAAUAUCUCAAAGACGAAAUGAUCAAAUUUGCAGAUGGCACAGACGCAAUGCUCGGAAUCCUGUCCUCCACGGUUUUGAACAUUUCCUUUUUCAGAGUGAGCCUGUUCACAAGCUCCCCACAUGAACGUGCCAGGUUCUUGGGGCGCCUCUCUCUGUUCUUUCCAUCAUGACCCUUUGCGGCUAUAGGCUCAGAAUUACGUUAUGACAGGUAUAAGAGUUUAUACUGUGGAGGAAUACUUGCUGACGUGAAAAGAGAGUCAAGGUAUAUUUUUAAUUUAAGAAAGGUCACAAAACCUGUAUUUAUUAGCAUGAUUUCCAUUUUGUUCCAAGAAUAUCUAUGCAUAGGAAAAAAUGUAGAAAGACAGAAGCAUAACAGUAUUAAUGGGGUUUAUAUAUUUGGUUUUUACGCUUUUUUUGUGCAUCUCUGUGAUUGUGAUUUUUCCACAGCGAGUGUGUUUUACUUCGAAGACAUUCCCAGUGCUUUGCAACUAUCUUCCAAAGGCCGGGGUUCACCUCUGACUGGUUUGGCCUCUUUGUAAAGGAUGCAAUGACAAAGCAGGUUAUCUCAAGACUUGUCACUAUUUUCAACCACCUUCUUGGCUUUUGGACUCUUUCCCUGCUGUGACCGUUGAGAACUUCUGACCCCCUGCAUAGGUCACAACGCUCCUAGUGUCCAAACCUCCUACCUGACUUAACUUGAAGCUGCCAUGGGAUCAUUUCCUGUUGGAACUAUUAGCAGUCAUAAUAUUGUUAAUUAGAUUGCCCCACUUCCUCUGAGUGCUUACUGUGUGCCGGGAACUAUAAUAAUUAUUUUAAAUGUAGUGACUGAAUUCAUUUUCUCGAUAAGUCUAUGAGGGUGGUCCUAUUAUUAUACAUAUUUUACAGACGAGGCAACGGGGCAACGGAGGUGGGUUAGGUGGGCCAACUCACACAGUCAGUGAGGAUAUUUGCCUACCUUUGCCUGGAGGAUGGAUCGCUGAUGCUUCUUGGUCCUGCCUCCAAAUGGCCUAUUCCUACCAACUGCCACUGCCCCACACACAGGUGUGAGAGAUGUAUAUGCACCUUUUUUCCAGGCAGGGCACCACAUGAAGCAUCCAGCUGUGACUUGGGACAAGUUAUUAAAUCCUCUGAGCCUCAGUUUCCCCAUCUGUAAAGAGGACUGACAUACUUUUGCAGAGUUCUUCAGAAGAUUGAAUCAAGUAAGGUAUGAGAGAUGCCGAAUGCCAGUUCCAAGUAGAGGGAGAACGCUCACGGAGAGGAAGAUGCCCACAGUAAGCCCAUGAAGAGAACUGAAUGUCAGCCUGAUGUCAGAAGAACGGAGUUAAGCUUCUCUCUCAACCAUUUCUGAAUGCAGUUCACCUUGUAUGUUAGCAAAGGUGGUGGCAGUCUACACGGAGUGACCAGCCAUUACCAAGAAGACCUCCUUGUCCAAAAUAUCUGCCUCACCAGGGCCAGGCACUCCACCAUCAGUAAUCCAUGUCUGCGUCUUAGGCUUUCCCCUUUCCAUAAGCCUUGUAAGCACAUAAAUACUCAUGGGAUCCUUGUAAGACAGAAAUGGCGGCAGGAUUUAGGAUUGGAUUACGUGGAAUUGUAGAGGAGAAAAACGUGUACUGGGAAGGUGAGUGUUCCGGUCUCAGUUCCUGCUGUCCUAACUCCCAUGGAGAACUUUCGUGAAUCACAACCUCUCUGUGUUUCUGUCUAUACAAAGAAAUUUUGUAAUAUAUACUUCUCCAUCUAAGAUUCGGGCUUUAACCAUCUAAGAUUCUACAGAAUCAAAUAGUGAUAAUUCAGGCACACCUUCAGGCAACUAUGGAAAUAUUUCUUGCUUGAUACCCAUUUCUCUUGCCCUGAGAUUGCUGAUUGGUAAAACCAGCUUGGAAAUCCACUGUGACAACAUUUACCAAAAACUUUAAGGAGGUUCACAUUCUUUGAUCCAGUAAUUUCAUUUCUGUGAAAUCAUUCGAAGUACAGCAGAGCUUCAUGAACAGGGACUUUAAAUACAGUUAUGUUUAUAAUAAUGAAAACAGGGGCGCCUGGGUGGCGCAGUCGGUUAAGCGUCCGACUUCAGCCAGGUCACGAUCUCGCGGUCUGGGAG
This is a long non-coding RNA of Felis catus (domestic cat), 6607 nucleotides long. RefSeq lists it as uncharacterized. NCBI's taxonomy places the organism in Eukaryota, Metazoa, Chordata, Mammalia, Carnivora, Felidae. The record is from RefSeq and is a predicted model, not a curated record. The transcript is spliced from 4 exons.